UACGAGAUGUGCGAGCGUUGUUCGGAAUUACUGGGCAUAAAGGGUUCGUAGGUGGUUCGAUAAGUUGGUGGUGAAAUACCUCGGCUCAACCGGGGAAUUGCUUUCAAUACUGUCGGACUUGAGUGCGAAAGGGGUAAGUGGAAUUCCAGGUGUAGCGGUGGAAUGCGUAGAUAUCUGGGAGAACGCCAAAAGCGAAGGCAGCUUACUGGGUCGCAACUGACACUGAGGAACGAAAGCUAGGGGAGCAAAC
This 250-nucleotide ribosomal RNA is filed under the name uncultured prokaryote. Its description in RNAcentral is "partial 16S ribosomal RNA". It matches the Rfam family "Bacterial small subunit ribosomal RNA", at positions 524 to 773 of the family's 1533-position model. The record is from RNAcentral.